RNAcentral lists this long non-coding RNA (221 nucleotides) under Homo sapiens (human). RNAcentral's name for it is "HSALNT0184766". The record is from RNAcentral. Lineage: Eukaryota; Metazoa; Chordata; Mammalia; Primates; Hominidae.
AGGGCACAGACAGCCUACAGAGUUAGCCUGCCUAGAGUCACACAGGAGCACUGUGAGAGGAGCAAGCUCGAGAGUGAAGGUAGGUGUGGAUCUGCAGAAUAUUAGAGCUGCCAAAUCCCCGGGGAGUGUGAGGUUCGUCUAGGAUAGCACCACUGCUUGGCAGCAGCUUAAGGAGAAAAGAAGAAUCGAUCAUUGAGGAUAAUAUCAGGUAAGUUCAGGAA